RNAcentral lists this ribosomal RNA (497 nucleotides) under uncultured bacterium. Its description in RNAcentral is "partial 16S ribosomal RNA". It matches the Rfam family "Bacterial small subunit ribosomal RNA", at positions 28 to 507 of the family's 1533-position model. The record is from RNAcentral.
GAUGAACGCUGGCGGCGUGCCUAAUACAUGCAAGUCGAGCGAACGGACGAGAAGCUUGCUUCUCUGAUGUUAGCGGCGGACGGGUGAGUAACACGUGGAUAACCUGCCUAUAAGACUGGGAUAACUUCGGGAAACCGGAGCUAAUACCGGAUAAUAUUUUGAACCGCAUGGUUCAAAAGUGAAAGACGGUCUUGCUGUCACUUAUAGAUGGAUCCGCGCUGCAUUAGCUAGUUGGUAAGGUAACGGCUUACCAAGGCAACGAUGCAUAGCCGACCUGAGAGGGUGAUCGGCCACACUGGAACUGAGACACGGUCCAGACCCCUACGGGAGGCAGCAGUAGGGAAUCUUCCGCAAUGGGCGAAAGCCUGACGGAGCAACGCCGCGUGAGUGAUGAAGGUCUUCGGAUCGUAAAACUCUGUUAUUAGGGAAGAACAUAUGUGUAAGUAACUGUGCACAUCUUGACGGUACCUAAUCAGAAAGCCACGGCUAACUACGUG